This is a long non-coding RNA of Mauremys reevesii (Reeves's turtle), 3602 nucleotides long. RefSeq lists it as uncharacterized. NCBI's taxonomy places the organism in Eukaryota, Metazoa, Chordata, Testudines, Geoemydidae. The transcript is spliced from 2 exons. The record is from RefSeq and is a predicted model, not a curated record.
AUCCAUAUUAUAAGCAUAUUUCCAGAAAGAAUAUGGGGUGUAAUGUCACACCCCACGUAGCAGUUUGUGUGCACCGAGGAGGCAGUUUGAUAGGGUGCACACAAACCUGGCCAGGGGGAUGGCUCAAGUGAAGCAGAACCUGCUAUGCUGAGUCAGUGAUAAAGCCGUCCUCACAGUCUUCUCUCUGGCCCCAUUGGGAUCCAUCAUCACAGACUUUGUCAAGUAAUCCCGUAUAACGUUCUAUGGCCUGUUAGUCCUACCGCCCAAGAUGCAGAUGUGUGACAUCUUCGUGUUUGCUGAAGAGAUCUUGGGAGAGCCACUGUCAAUGUCUGGUGGGCUCUUGCCUCACUUACCACACCACCUAUUGCACAGUGAAUGAGGCAAGGGCACCUGCCAUAGGGCCAGUGUGGAAGGGCCCUGGCCCCGAUGCUCUGGUAAUACUAGCUAAUGUAGCAGUGUCACAAUUAUUGAAUUAUUGUAUUUUGAAGAUGUGAAGUGGUGGAUCAGUAUUAACUAGUCCGUUUAUUUUAUUAUUUACACUGUGUUGAUUGUCCUAAUUAAAGUGACUCUUUUUUUUUCAGCUGCUAUAUUUCCUUCUGCUUGUAUCAAAAGAUACACAUAUCAUCUAUCAUUUGCACCCAUCACCUUAGUAAAGGAACAAACAUGAAAAACAAAUCACUGUCUGCGAAUGGAGCAUUUUCAUGUUCCCUCUUCCAUGAGGGAUUGAGGUCCCAGGACCGGGGCCUACAUCAGUAUUGUGGUGAGAGCUGCACGGAGGAAAGGAGCCAGCAGCCAUGUUACAGGAAUCACCCCAGUCUAAUGAGAUGACUGCUAUCUCACCUAGGAUCUUGGUCUCCAGCUGGGGCUCACUGGCCCUGUAGGGGAGGUUUCACAGCGACCGUCGCUGAUGCAAGAGCAGCUCCUGUUUCUGUGUGUGCUCCGGCUGACAGCAAGAGUCAAACUUUGGGCUCCCUUGGGAGCUAGAGGACAAUGGAGGGAGCAAAACAUCUGACAGAGCUGAGAAACAGCCCGCGUGUACAGUAGUCUCUUUUCAGAAUAUGAUACUGAUGUGUUUGCUGGACUCAUCUCUAUUAGCUCACAUUAUUGCCUGCAUGCAAAGAGCUGGAUUCCUGAAUGGGUUCCAAGCUAAUUAAUUGAAUGAAAUAUAUUGUUACCACACACAUUGCAAGCUGGCCUUGAAAUACAAAAGGCUGAUUAUGUGAAUCUAUGUGCUAAAUUCCUCAGCCGCCAACUCCUCCUGAAUUGUCACCUCCUCCCCUGGGCAGAAAGGUUCAUUGGGUGGUAGUAAUGUAGCUUAGAAUUGCGUGUUGCAUUUAUGAAUGGAGGCUUGUCAAUAACAUGAGAGGUGUGUCAAUAAAACAGCCUCUAGGGUCUGACCUGACUGCAGUGCAGGGACUGGAUUAAGCAUCUCAAGAGUGAGUACUGGAAAACCAGAGACCAGAACCCCACCUUGGGCUACUCACCGACAUUGUGCCUGUUUUCUGAGGAGUUUGACUGGGUGCUGGGUAUUGCACUGAACACAGAGCCAGCGAUGGUGCAUGACUACCUGGUUAGCCAGGAUGGUGCCCUGCUGGCCCCAGAAUCCAGCACGGGGACUGAUGGGAGCCAGGAGCAGGUGCCGAGUGAGGGCAGUGAAGAAACUGUUACUGAAACCGAUCCCACACAGCAGCAGCACAUCCUGGGGCUACACUUGAAAGAGCUCUUUAAUGUCCCAUCCUCCCCUGUGAGGAACAGCUUGCUGUGGAGACUGCAGCAGAUACAGACAGGACAGAAGCUGCCCCUGAGCCUGGUAGGCUUCUGACCCUGUUUUAAUGUUUAUUAUUAUUAAUAUAGGCAUGGCAGAGAUUUCUGCUCUAUUAACCAAUGCAAAAGUUAUGAGACACCCCAGCUAGCAGCAUAUAUCCACCAAUGGCGGAUUGUAUCCCAGUGCCGCGGCUUCCCAAUCACAUGGAGUUCAAAUGGUGACCUUGAAAUGCAAAUAGUAAAAAUGCCUUUACUGGAAAGGCACAGAUUUUUGGUCCGGCCAUUCCUGUUCCCUAAAAAUAAUAACUUUACAUUGCCAUGCCUGUUAGUACGCCGUUCUGUAACCACUCAGUGGCAUAAAGAGCCACUGGAAAAUGAACUGUCGGAGAGGGGAGAGGUGGAAAUGAGUUCCAGCCACAAAUCUAGUCCAUUUCAGGUAAAGAUAGUCCAUGCAGUUGACAAAAGCAGUUAUCCCUAAUUUGACCGGGGUUUGAAAAGGUAUCCUGAAAGGUGCCCUGGAGGAUGGGGUAUCAGAGAGAUGACUGUGGAGUUGUGUGUGUUUGCAUGCAGCCAUAACAGGCUAAGCCAUGUGGAAGCUAAUGGAGCAGCCUGUUGAUUCCCUCAUGAAUUUUGAACCAAUCCCAGGUGCUGAUCGAAACUUUUCCUGGAGCAGGAACCCCAGCUAGGCAGUCACAUUGCAGGGGAGGGUGUAUUUCCCAGGGCCAGCUUGGUAGCUGACCAGCCCACUCCACUAAUUAAUGUCCUGGUCAGUCUCUAUACGUUCGAAUACUUCACCUGCACUCACUGCGGGUUUCCCACCAGCAGCUUGGAAUAACAACUCCCUCUGCCAGCCGAGCAGCACAAGAACUGUUCUGCCCUCCAAAAUAUGGAAGGCCUGAAAUGAUAGAAAAAGCUUUUGUAGCGUUGCCACUGAUGGCACGCUGCCCACCCCCACACCCUCCCCCAGCCAACCCAAGUAAUUCUGCAAUUUUUUAGAGACAAAAAAAAUAGCCUAUCAUUGUCUCUGCACUUCUUUCGCUGUGAUUAACCAGGCUGUGUCAAGGGGCUUCUGUGCAUCCUUCUUGCAAUAUAUUGACGUUCAGUUUCGAAAAGUAGCAUUUUAUGUCCUUGAAAUUCCACAAGGAUUUUUCUGUGCUCCUGCAUGGGGGUCUUUGAGACAAUACCCCUCUGUGUCCUGUCCUGUUCUAGGCCCCUCACCCUCUAUUGGCUGCAGAACCUCCACAGUUCGCCCACAGUGCAGUACAAGGCUGGCCCAAUGUACCAACAUGGACCAUUCUAAGCGGAAAUGUUUCUUUGAUGAACUGAUGGUUGAAGUUCUGCAGAGAGCCACCAACAGAGCUGAGCAGCUGUUGUCAGUAAUAGCUACAAGAGUACCAGCUGUUGCUCCAUUAUCCACUCCACGGCCUGAGAUACCUGCACGGUACCCUGGGAUGCAGUCCAGAAACUCCAGGCCUGGGUGGCCCAUGCAGUCAGGCCCCAUGAGCAGCUGGGCAGGGCAACUUAGCCCCAUGCAGCCCUUUGUCUUGACCUCCUCCCCUGUUGAUGCCUCCAGCCCCUGCCCUGGCAUCAAGUGCUCAGCAAAUGGAGAACAAAGGGAAAGGAGAAUGGGGGCCCAGGGGACAUGCCACGGCAGGGGGUUCUGUCUUGUACUUGGUUCCACUGUUCACACUUGUUCUUCCAGUGGUUUUUGUGUUUUUUCCCCUGUAAGGUUCUGUUGUUACUGGCAUUUUGGUGUGGUAAUGGUGGCUCACCACCUCAGAAUGGGCAACUGUUGUACUUUUAUAACACGUAUGUAAAUAAAGAUUUGUAUGUCUACA